CAACCAAUUUAGAGAGCAUUUGCGUGACCAAAAAGAAAAAGCCUACUGAGAACGAGAGACUUUCAACAUUGAACAAAUAAUUAAACGGCAGUGGGUCUGGAAUUUCAGUUGCUGAUUCUUUCCUUAAUCCUAUUCUUUCCAGUUUCUUCCAAUUGGGGAAUUUUACUUUUGUGGCCUUGGAAGUCGCUUCCAGCUCAAAAUGGGCAGACUGAGGUGGACAGGGGUUUCCCCAAAAUCUAUCAUGCGAAUUGCUGCGUCAUGGCGCACAGUUUCUGCAGAUUCGAUGAUUGAUAAAGGAAACGUGCGUGCACAUGUUUCAGAAUAUCUACCCUCGUUACUUCAAAGUCGCUGUAAGAGGCUUAACUUUAACUGUAACAUGUGAAGAUUGAACUCUUUUCUAUGCAUCAAACUUUGCAAUUUUAAGGAUUCUUCGUCAUGAGCUACUUUUUAUGAAUUGAGCUCGACUUUGUGCCUUAGUUGUUAGUUAGGUUAAUUUGGAAUUGAUUAUGGUGUGAAACAUUACAUGAACUUAAACUAUAUUUUCUGGAUGGUGCUGAUUCCAGGUCACUCUAUUUUUUGUUUUUUGUUUUCAUGAAAGCAUAUUUUAUUGAUGUCUUGGGAAUAUCCCCGAAUACAAGAAGUAUAACAAAAGACAACAAUAUGGUUCUCUAUAAUAGAAAGCCAAUCAUCUAUAC
Molecule: long non-coding RNA, 695 nt
Organism: Nicotiana attenuata
Lineage: Eukaryota; Viridiplantae; Streptophyta; Magnoliopsida; Solanales; Solanaceae
Exons: 3
Source: RefSeq, a predicted model, not a curated record